AACGCACGAGACCUGCGGACCUGCGGAGGGAUCAUUACUGAGUUAUCCAACUCCCAACCCCUGUGAAUUAUACCUUUAAUUGUUGCUUCGGCGGGACUUCGCGCCCGCCGGGGACCCAAACCUUCUGAAUUUUUUAAUAAGUAUCUUCUGAGUGGUUAAAAAAAUGAAUCAAAACUUUCAGCAACGGAUCUCU
RNAcentral lists this unclassified non-coding RNA (193 nucleotides) under soil metagenome. RNAcentral's name for it is "partial contains 5.8S ribosomal RNA, internal transcribed spacer 2, and large subunit ribosomal RNA". The record is from RNAcentral.